Molecule: ribosomal RNA, 497 nt
Filed under: uncultured bacterium
Lineage: Bacteria
Description: partial 16S ribosomal RNA
Rfam family: Bacterial small subunit ribosomal RNA
Source: RNAcentral
GAUGAACGCUGGCGGCGUGCCUAAUACAUGCAAGUCGAGCGAACGGACGAGAAGCUUGCUUUUCUGAUGUUAGCGGCGGACGGGUGAGUAACACGUGGAUAACCUACCUAUAAGACUGGGAUAACUUCGGGAAACCGGAGCUAAUACCGGAUAAUAUUUUGAACCGCAUGGUUCAAAAGUGAAAGACGGUCUUGCUGUCACUUAUAGAUGGAUCCGCGCUGCAUUAGCUAGUCGGUAAGGUAACGGCUUACCAAGGCAACGAUGCAUAGACGACCUGAGAGGGUGAUAGGCCACACUGGAACUGAGCCACGGUCCAGACUACUACGGGAGGCAGCAGUCGGGAAUCUUACGCAAUGGGCGAAAGCAUGACGGAGCAACGCCGCGUGAGUGAUGAAGGUCUUCGGAUCGUAAAACUCUGUUAUUAGGGAAGAACAUAUGUGUAAGUAACUGUGCACAUAUUGACGGUACCUAAUCAGAAAGCCACGGCUAACUACGUG